CCUACGGGUGGCUGCAGUGAGGAAUAUUGGUCAAUGGGCGAGAGCCUGAACCAGCCAAGUCGCGUGAGGGAAGACGGUCCUAUGGAUUGUAAACCUCUUUUGUCGGGGAGCAAAAAGGCCUCGUGAGGCCACAAGUGAGAGUACCCGAAGAAAAAGCAUCGGCUAACUCCGUGCCAGCAGCCGCGGUAAUACGGAGGAUGCGAGCGUUAUCCGGAUUUGUUGGGUUUAAAGGGUGCGUAGGCGGACUGGAAAGUCAGCGGUAAAAUCGAGAGGCUCAACCUCUUUCCGCCGUUGAAAUGGUGGGUAUUGAGGGGGCGAGAGGUAAGCGGAAUGAGUGGGGUAGCGGUGAAAGGCAGAGAUAUCACGCAGAACUCCGAUGGCGAAGGCGGCAGACCGGCGCCCGACUGACGCUGAGGCACGAAAGCGUGGGUAUCGAACAGGAUUAGAUACCCGGGUAGUC
RNAcentral lists this ribosomal RNA (460 nucleotides) under uncultured bacterium. RNAcentral's name for it is "partial 16S ribosomal RNA". It matches the Rfam family "Bacterial small subunit ribosomal RNA", at positions 338 to 795 of the family's 1533-position model. The record is from RNAcentral.